RNAcentral lists this ribosomal RNA (256 nucleotides) under uncultured bacterium. Its description in RNAcentral is "partial 16S ribosomal RNA". It matches the Rfam family "Bacterial small subunit ribosomal RNA", at positions 524 to 776 of the family's 1533-position model. The record is from RNAcentral.
UACGAAGGGGGGCUAGCGUUGUUCGGAUUUACUGGGCGUAAAGCGCACGUAGGCGGUUUGUUAAGUCAGGGGUGAAAUCCCCAGAGCUCAACUCUGGAACUGCCUUUGAUACUGGCAAGCUCGAGUCCGGAAGAGGUAAGUGGAACUCCUAGUGUAGAGGUGGAAUUCGUAGAUAUUAGGAAGAACACCAGUGGCGAAGGCGGCUUACUGGUCCGGAACUGACGCUGAGGUGCGAAAGCGUGGGGGAGCAAACAGG